RNAcentral lists this ribosomal RNA (497 nucleotides) under uncultured bacterium. RNAcentral describes it as "partial 16S ribosomal RNA". It matches the Rfam family "Bacterial small subunit ribosomal RNA", at positions 28 to 507 of the family's 1533-position model. The record is from RNAcentral.
GAUGAACGCUGGCGGCGUGCCUAAUACAUGCAAGUCGAGCGAACAGACGAGGAGCUUGCUCCUCUGACGUUAGCGGCGGGCGGGUGAGUAACACGUGGAUAACCUACCUAUAAGACUGGGAUAACUUCGGGAAACCGGAGCUAAUACCGGAUAAUAUAUUGAACCGCAUGGUUCAAUAGUGACAGAAGGUUUUGCUGUCACUUAUAGAUGGAUCCGCGCCGCAUUAGCUAGUUGGUAAGGUAACGGCUUACCAAGGCGACGAUGCGUAGCCGACCUGAGAGGGAGAUCGGCCACACUGGAACUGAGACACGGUCCAGACUCCUACGGGAGGCAGCAGUAGGGAAUCUUCCGCAAUGGGCGAAAGCCUGACGGAGCAACGCCGCGUGAGUGAUGAAGGUCUUCGGAUCGUAAAACUCUGUUAUUAGGGAAGAACAAAUGUGUAAGUAACUAUGCACGUCUUGACGGUACCUAAUCAGAAAGCCACGGCUAACUACGUG